Molecule: ribosomal RNA, 253 nt
Filed under: uncultured bacterium
Lineage: Bacteria
Description: partial 16S ribosomal RNA
Rfam family: Bacterial small subunit ribosomal RNA
Source: RNAcentral
UACGGGGGGGGCAAGCGUUGUUCGGAAUUACUGGGCGUAAAGGGCUCGUAGGCGGCCAACUAAGUCAGACGUGAAAUCCCCCGGCUUAACCUGGGAACUGCGUCUGAUACUGGACGGCUGGAGUUUGGGAGAGGGAUGUAGAAUUCCAGGUGUAGCGGUGAAAUGCGUAGAUAUGUCACAGAACACCGAUUGCGAAGGCAGCUUACUAAAGUGCGAUUGACGCUGAGGCACGAAAGCGUGGGGAUCAAACAGG